GGGUCAGUAGGUUGGUCGUGCCACCGGUACGUACUGGUCUCACUGAUUCCUCCUCCCUGAAGAACCGUAAUGCCAUUAAUUUGGUGUUGCGGGGAAACAGGACUGUUACUUUGAAAAAAUUAGAGUGUUUAAAGCAAGCUAACGCUUGAAUACAUUUGCAUGGAAUAAUGAAAUAGGACGAUCGAUCCUAUUUUGUUGGUUUCUAGGAUUGACGUA
This 216-nucleotide ribosomal RNA is filed under the name Glomeromycotina sp. Its description in RNAcentral is "partial small subunit ribosomal RNA". The stretch from base 75 to 216 matches the Rfam family "Eukaryotic small subunit ribosomal RNA", at positions 721 to 864 of the family's 1831-position model. Lineage: Eukaryota; Fungi; Glomeromycota. The record is from RNAcentral.